CUCAGUGUGGUGCAAUGGUAGCAUACUCUGUUACGGGUCUCCGUUGGAGCCCGUGGUCCAUAUGCUGUUGGACAGAGAGAUGUAGGUUUGAUUCCUAACACUGAGA
Molecule: non-coding RNA, 106 nt
Organism: Fusarium graminearum PH-1
Lineage: Eukaryota; Fungi; Ascomycota; Sordariomycetes; Hypocreales; Nectriaceae
Source: the annotation of a RefSeq genome assembly